RNAcentral lists this unclassified non-coding RNA (337 nucleotides) under soil metagenome. Its description in RNAcentral is "partial contains 5.8S ribosomal RNA, internal transcribed spacer 2, and large subunit ribosomal RNA". The stretch from base 1 to 120 matches the Rfam family "5.8S ribosomal RNA", at positions 35 to 154 of the family's 154-position model. The record is from RNAcentral.
GAUGAAGAACGUAGCUAAAUGCGAUAAGUAGUGUGAAUUGCAGAAUUCAGUGAAUCAUCGAAUCUUUGAACGCACAUUGCGCCCCAUGGUAUUCCGUGGGGCAUGCCUGUUCGAGCGUCAUUUACCCCCUCAAGCUCCGCUUGGUGUUGGGCGUCUGUCCCGCUUCGCGCGCGGACUCGCCCCAAAGGUAUUGGCAGCGGUCGUGCCAGCUUCUCGCGCAGCACAUUGCGCUUCUCGAGGCACCGGUGGGCCCGCGUCCAUCAAGCUCACCCCCCCAGUUUGACCUCGGAUCAGGUAGGGAUACCCGCUGAACUUAAGCAUAUCAAUAAGCGGAGGA